GGUGCUCGAGUGGCGAACGGGUGAGUAACACGUGAGUAACCUGCCCUUGACUUUGGGAUAACUUCAGGAAACUGGGGCUAAUACCGGAUAGGAGCUCCUGCUGCAUGGUGGGGGUUGGAAAGUUUCGGCGGUUGGGGAUGGACUCGCGGCUUAUCAGCUUGUUGGUGGGGUAGUGGCUUACCAAGGCUUUGACGGGUAGCCGGCCUGAGAGGGUGGACGGCCACAUUGGGACUGAGAUACGGCCCAG
This 247-nucleotide ribosomal RNA is filed under the name uncultured Actinomycetales bacterium. RNAcentral describes it as "partial 16S ribosomal RNA". It matches the Rfam family "Bacterial small subunit ribosomal RNA", at positions 86 to 334 of the family's 1533-position model. Lineage: Bacteria; Bacillati; Actinomycetota; Actinomycetes; Actinomycetales. The record is from RNAcentral.